This 490-nucleotide ribosomal RNA is filed under the name uncultured bacterium. RNAcentral's name for it is "partial 16S ribosomal RNA". It matches the Rfam family "Bacterial small subunit ribosomal RNA", at positions 30 to 507 of the family's 1533-position model. The record is from RNAcentral.
AUUGAACGCUGGCGGCAGGCCUAACACAUGCAAGUCGAACGGUAACAGGAAACAGCUUGCUGUUUCGCUGACGAGUGGCGGACGGGUGAGUAAUGUCUGGGAAACUGCCUGAUGGAGGGGGAUAACUACUGGAAACGGUAGCUAAUACCGCAUAACGUCGCAAGACCAAAGAGGGGGACCUUCGGGCCUCUUGCCAUCGGAUGUGCCCAGAUGGGAUUAGCUAGUAGGUGGGGUAACGGCUCACCUAGGCGACGAUCCCUAGCUGGUCUGAGAGGAUGACCAGCCACACUGGAACUGAGACACGGUCCAGACUCCUACGGGAGGCAGCAGUGGGGAAUAUUGGACAAUGGGCGCAAGCCUGAUGCAGCCAUGCCGCGUGUAUGAAGAAGGCCUUCGGGUUGUAAAGUACUUUCAGCGGGGAGGAAGGGAGUAAAGUUAAUACCUUUACUCAUUGACGUUACCCGCAGAAGAAGCACCGGCUAACUCCGUG